AUUGAACGCUGGCGGCAUGCCUUACACAUGCAAGUCGAACGGCAGCACGGGUGCUUGCACCUGGUGGCGAGUGGCGAACGGGUGAGUAAUACAUCGGAACAUGUCCUGUAGGGGGGGAUAGCCCGGCGAAAGCCGGAUUAAUACCGCAUACGAUCUACGGAUGACAGCGGGGGACCUUCGGGCCUCGCGCUAUAGGGUUGGCCGAUGGCUGAUUAGCUAGUUGGUGGGGUAAAGGCCUACCAAGGCGACGAUCAGUAGCUGGUCUGAGAGGACGACCAGCCACCCUGGGACUGAGGCCCGGCCCAGACUCCUACGGGAGGCAGCAGUGGGGAAUUUUGGACAAUGGGCGAAAGCCUGAUCCAGCAAUGCCCCGUGUGUGAAGAAGGCCUUCGGGUUGUAAAGCACUUUUGUCCGGAAAGAAAUCCUUGGCCCUAAUACGGUCGGGGGAUGACGGUACCGGAAGAAUAGGCACCGGCUAACUACGUG
This 486-nucleotide ribosomal RNA is filed under the name uncultured bacterium. RNAcentral's name for it is "partial 16S ribosomal RNA". It matches the Rfam family "Bacterial small subunit ribosomal RNA", at positions 30 to 507 of the family's 1533-position model. The record is from RNAcentral.